GACGAACGCUGGCGGCGUGCUUAACACAUGCAAGUGGAGCGACGAACCGGGGCUUGCCCCGGGGCAGAGCCGCGAACGGGUGAGUAACACGUGGGUAACCCACCCCGAUGAUUGGGACAACCCGAGGAAACUCGGGCUAAUACCAAAUGUGCCCUUGGUCCAUGAGGACCUCGAGUAAAGAUAGCUUCGGCCUUCGCAUCGGGACGGGCCCGCGGCCCAUUAGCUUGUUGGUGAGGUAACGGCUCACCAAGGCGACGAUGGGGUAGCUGGUCUGAGAGGACGAUCAGCCACACUGGGACUGAGACACGGCCCAGACUCCUACGGGAGGCAGCAGGUGGGGAAUCUUGCGCAAUGCGCGAAAGCGUGACGCAGCAACGCCG
Molecule: ribosomal RNA, 380 nt
Filed under: uncultured bacterium
Lineage: Bacteria
Description: bacterial SSU rRNA
Rfam family: Bacterial small subunit ribosomal RNA
Source: RNAcentral